CCUACGGGUGGCAGCAGUGGGGAAUUUUGCGCAAUGCUCGUAAGAGUGACGCAGCGACGCCGCGUGAGUGAAGAAGUAUUUCGGUAUGUAAAGCUCUAUCAGCAGGGAAGAAAAUGACGGUACCUGAUUAAGAAGCCCCGGCUAACUACGUGCCAGCCGCCGCGGUAAUACGUAGGGGGCAAGCGUUAUCCGGAUUUACUGGGUGUAAAGGGAGCGUAGACGGCAGCACAAGUCUGGAGUGAAAUGCCGGGGCUUAACCCCGGAACUGCUUUGGAAACUGUGCAGCUAGAGUGCAGGAGAGGUAAGUGGAAUUCCUAGUGUAGCGGUGAAAUGCGUAGAUAUUAGGAGGAACACCAGUGGCGAAGGCGGCUUACUGGACUGUAACUGACGUUGAGGCUCGAAAGCGUGGGGAGCAAACAGGAUUAGAUACCCUGGUAGUC
RNAcentral lists this ribosomal RNA (440 nucleotides) under uncultured bacterium. Its description in RNAcentral is "partial 16S ribosomal RNA". It matches the Rfam family "Bacterial small subunit ribosomal RNA", at positions 338 to 795 of the family's 1533-position model. The record is from RNAcentral.